Molecule: ribosomal RNA, 251 nt
Filed under: uncultured bacterium
Lineage: Bacteria
Description: partial 16S ribosomal RNA
Rfam family: Bacterial small subunit ribosomal RNA
Source: RNAcentral
UACGGAGGGAGCUAGCGUUGUUCGGAAUUACUGGGCGUAAAGCGCACGUAGGCGGCUUUGUAAGUUAGAGGUGAAAGCCCGGGGCUCAACUCCGGAACUGCCUUUAAGACUGCAUCGCUUGAAUCCGGGAGAGGUGAGUGGAAUUCCGAGUGUAGAGGUGAAAUUCGUAGAUAUUCGCAAGAACACCAGUGGCGAAGGCGGCUCACUGGCCCGAUACUGACGCUGAGGCACGAAAGCGUGGGAGCAAACAG